This 132-nucleotide small RNA is filed under the name Salmonella enterica. RNAcentral describes it as "RtT sRNA". It matches the Rfam family "RtT RNA". Rfam says of the family: This family represents a bacterial cis-regulatory element known as RtT RNA. RNAcentral also lists the same sequence under 3 other names. Lineage: Bacteria; Pseudomonadati; Pseudomonadota; Gammaproteobacteria; Enterobacterales; Enterobacteriaceae. The record is from RNAcentral.
GUUUGCACUUGUCGGGGAAGGGUGAGAACCUUCGACUAAGGUUCGAUUCGAGCGAAAGCGAGAGAACGUUGCCAACGGCAACGACCCGAAGGGCGAAGCGCGCAGCGCUGAGUCAUCCUUCCCCCACCACCA